AUUGAACGCUGGCGGCAUGCCUUACACAUGCAAGUCGAACGGUAGAGUAGCAAUACUUGAGAGUGGCGAACGGGUGAGUAAUAUAUCGGAACGUGCCCAGUCGUGGGGGAUAACGUAGAGAAAUUUACGCUAAUACCGCAUACGAUCUAAGGAUGAAAGCGGGGGAGUUCGCAAGAACCUCGCGCGAUUGGAGCGGCUGAUAUCAGAUUAGGUUGUUGGUGAGGUAAAAGACUCACCAAGCCGACGAUCUGUAGCUGGUUUGAGAGAACGACCAGCCACACUGGGACUGAGACACGGCCCAGACUCCUACGGGAGGCAGCAGUUGGGGGAAUUUUUUGGGACCAAAUGGGCGGAAAGACCUGAUCCAGCAAUGCCGCGUGCAGGAAG
RNAcentral lists this ribosomal RNA (387 nucleotides) under uncultured bacterium. RNAcentral describes it as "bacterial SSU rRNA". It matches the Rfam family "Bacterial small subunit ribosomal RNA", at positions 30 to 410 of the family's 1533-position model. The record is from RNAcentral.